AGUGAACGCUGGCGGUAGGCCUAACACAUGCAAGUCGAACGGCAGCACAGUAAGAGCUUGCUCUUACGGGUGGCGAGUGGCGGACGGGUGAGGAAUACAUCGGAAUCUACUUUUUCGUGGGGGAUAACGUAGGGAAACUUACGCUAAUACCGGAUACGACCUACGGGGGAAAGCAGGGGAUCGUCGGACCUUGCGCGAUUGAAUGAGCCGCUGUCGGAUUAGCUAGUUGGGGGGGUAAAGGCCCACCAAGGCGACGAUCCGUAGCUGGUCUGAGAGGAUGAUCGGCCACACUGGAACUGGGACACGGUCCAGACGCCUGCGGGAGGCACCAGUCGGGUAUAUUGGGCAAUGGGCGCAAGCCUUAUCCAACCAUACCGCGUGGGUUAAGAAGGCCUUCGGGUUGUAAAGCCCUUUUGUUGGGAAAGAAAAGCAGCAGGUUAAGACCCCGCUGUUCUGACGGUACCCAAAGAAUAAGCACCGGCUAACUUCGUG
Molecule: ribosomal RNA, 492 nt
Filed under: uncultured bacterium
Lineage: Bacteria
Description: partial 16S ribosomal RNA
Rfam family: Bacterial small subunit ribosomal RNA
Source: RNAcentral